AAAUGCAGGGUCAUGGGGAUAGGGUAGAGGACUGGAUCUGUGUGGUCCAAAUGGCCUUUUUUCACACUGUAGGGAUUAGAGUCAACCACAUCAAAACAGACCAUUUGUUCAUUCAUAUCACUGGCAUUUGUGGGAGCAAACGUUAGAUUUUGCAUUUAGCCUAAGACAGUUUCACUCUCAUUAAGUGUGUCUACCUCAGGCAUUUCUGUCCACUCUCAUGGAUUAGCUGGGCAUGCAGCCUCCUCCCUACUUCUGGAGUGGAGAGUAGACAGAGGAAAUCCCUUCCUCAAUUUCUUUUCCUGUGGGGAAAGGCUUGGUCUUCACUUGCUAUUCCUAAAUUACCACAUCCAAGAACGGAUAGCGUAGUUGCCCAAAACAUCUGUUCACCAUGGUGUCUCAGUUAAUUACAUAUGGAAUCAUGCAAACUGUUGUUAGUUCAGAGAAUUCUCUACUGGAAACAGUUGUGAAAAUAGAAUGGCUGAAUAAAUGGGAGGCAAAAAUUUCCAAAGGGUAUGAGAAACCAAUUUAGUGAUAAUGCUUUCAAAGAACUGGAAUAGGUAUGAUGGGCCAAAUUCCAUCCUCCUGCAUUAUAAAAGUCUAUGAUUUUAUAGUAAUCUAAAAGACAGCCAUUAUAUUAUCAGCAAUAAGAGGCUGAGAAGCACACUUGCUCCAUAAACUUUUACCUUUUAACUUCUUAGAAAGCUGGACCCAUUUGGUUAACCAUUCUUUACACUCUGCUGCGUUCAGUUGCACUGAGUUCAAGCCUCUUACAUAACAUGCCUUGAAAUCAGAACCACAAAACAAUGAUCAGACUAACCAUGCUCACAGAGACAAAUGGGGAAGCAAAUAAUAUAAAGUAUAAUGAAACAUUUUUCUCCAAUUUUCAUAUAUACCUGUGUAAAAGUCAAAUCUCAGAGACCAAUGUUUUGGGCAAAAGUUUAAGAAGUCAACUUUUUAGAAAGCAGUAUUUGCAGGGUUUGCAUGCAUACUUGAUUUGGGCUGCCACAGCAUCCUGUACAUGGAUCAGCUAACUGCUUGUGGACUGUUGCUAUUAUACGGAUGAGUGUACCCUAAUGAGGGAUGGUCUGCUGCAAUUGGACAGGUUCACCUUCAGUUGUGGUUGUGCCUCCACAGGGAACGAUUGGGUGAUGUUAGCAAAGCAUCAAUUUAAGCAGCUCUUGGCGGACAAGCAGAUUCACUACCCAUUGACAUUACUGAGUGUGUGAAGGGUGGGAGUGGGUGGACAGCCGAUGGCUAUUAAUCCCUGAAAACCUAAGGUUGACUUUUAAAAGAGGUAUAUGAAAAUAACAUGUCAAGCCAAAAGUUAUGGGUUGAUUUUUGACAUGGAUAUAUAGGGUAAAUAUAGGACAAGAUUUCCUUAUCCCAGUUUAUCUCAAUGCUUUGUAACAAUGACAUUUCAUUGAACAAGAAGAGAUUCAUCAGAAGUUAACACUCUUGAAAAUAUAGAAAAAACAGCACUAUAUUCUGCUCUUGCCACCAACAGACUCAAGCCAAGCCCAGCACUGGUUUCCAAAUCUAAACUGCAAAUAGCUGAAUCUGUUCAAGACGGGCAUUCACCAAGUUCAGACAGGCUAGACUCAAACAUGAGUUCCACACAGAGCAUCUUAUGAUAAUGGUCUGUUUAUUCAGCAGAGUAACAAUUAAGUCCAUAAUGUUAGUAAUGUAGCAUUAGCAUGGCGGAGUAAUGAAAGAAAAUCCUAGCUAAUAAACGACUCUUUUAAUGACACUAUCCACGUUUACAUUCACUCUGCAUUGUGCCACCUCAGCAUAAAUUUGAAAAGGACAUGGUGGGGUAUUAUGUACAAAAUCCAUUCACUAGGUCACUAUGAAACAAGAAGGUUCAAGAUGCAAAAAAAAUAUUUAUCCCAUUCAGGCCCAUCCAACCCCACCCAAAGCCCAUGCUAUUUUCCAAGUGACAAGACAAUACAUUUUGCUUAUAAUUCAAGGUACUUCUCAUGGUCCUACAAAAACCAAUGUACACUGUUACUGCACUGGAACCUGCAUGCCAUCCUUAACAUUGUUAGUGGCCAGGAUUGUGUGAUUUUGCAAGCUGUAUUGGGAUGUUUGAUGUCUCACAACAUGCUGGCCUGACAUUAAGGAGGCCAAUGCCUCAGAAUAAUGGCCACCAUGUCACUGUGUAUAUGGAUGAUUGGUUAACGCACUUCAUUGGCAGGUCAACCAGGUCAAAAUCAAUUUCCUGUUUCUAUAUUCCUCCAACCUCACAACUUAAGAAAUCUGUGCUCCUCCAAUUCUUUCACCCCAUCAUUGGUGACUGUGCCUUCAGCCACCUAGGGCCUAAAUAGUUGAAUUCCUUCCUGAAAACCACUCUUCCUUGCCUCCUCGAAGACCUCUUUAAAAUACACCUUCUCCAAACAAAUGUUCCUUCUUUGCCUUGGCCUAUAUUUUCAUUGGAUUAAACGUCUGUUAAAGGCAUUAUAUGAAUGCAAGUUGUUGUUGAUAUGUCAGCUACACACCAUCAAUUCUUUUUUACUCACAAUCCUCAGUUCAUCCUCUGACAGGUUUUGAACACCCAAGAUAUUGAGAGCUUGGUCCAAAUGAUGAAUCUCCAUUAUAUGGCUCCGGAGGCGACGGCGCAUGAUGAAGGACGGAGGAUUAUUUUCUUCUGAAUAAGAUAAAGGAUGCCAUUACUGAAAGACAGAACGAUUGCCCCUGUGCUCAAGGAUCAGAACUCACAGCAACUCCACUUUCAACAGCCAGCUUCAAUGUAACUUAAGCCAUUAAAGAUUGUUACCAAUUGCCAAGGUGCAUGCACUGAAUGGAGAGACAAUAUUAUUGAAAUGGUACAAAAGUUCAAAGCUUUAGUCCCAAAACAUCUAUGAAUAAGGCUGGACUGACAUGAUCCAUUAUUAUAUAACUCCAGAACACAACUGAAAAAUAUUUAAAUACUCACAUCAAUACAAACACCAUAUAGUUUGCAAAUGGUGGAAGUGAUAGCAGCACUACAGGCUCCAGAGUGUUUGACUCAGACAAACAAGGUUUAAAGCAAUGACAAAUGGACAAAGUGUUUUGAACAAGUAUGACUCUGUGGAUGAAAAUGGCAUCUUAAUACCUCAGUAUCUGGAAUGGGAACAACAAAGGAAUGAACCAUUCUGCAGCACAGUGACCUUCACUUAGGAUGUGAAAAAAAGACUCCUACCUGCCUUA
Molecule: long non-coding RNA, 3186 nt
Organism: Rhincodon typus (whale shark)
Lineage: Eukaryota; Metazoa; Chordata; Chondrichthyes; Orectolobiformes; Rhincodontidae
Exons: 5
Source: RefSeq, a predicted model, not a curated record